RNAcentral lists this ribosomal RNA (942 nucleotides) under Escherichia coli. RNAcentral describes it as "partial 23S ribosomal RNA". It matches the Rfam family "Bacterial large subunit ribosomal RNA", at positions 1917 to 2853 of the family's 2925-position model. Lineage: Bacteria; Pseudomonadati; Pseudomonadota; Gammaproteobacteria; Enterobacterales; Enterobacteriaceae. The record is from RNAcentral.
GCCCCGGUAAACGGCGGCCGUAACUAUAACGGUCCUAAGGUAGCGAAAUUCCUUGUCGGGUAAGUUCCGACCUGCACGAAUGGCGUAAUGAUGGCCAGGCUGUCUCCACCCGAGACUCAGUGAAAUUGAACUCGCUGUGAAGAUGCAGUGUACCCGCGGCAAGACGGAAAGACCCCGUGAACCUUUACUAUAGCUUGACACUGAACAUUGAGCCUUGAUGUGUAGGAUAGGUGGGAGGCUUUGAAGUGUGGACGCCAGUCUGCAUGGAGCCGACCUUGAAAUACCACCCUUUAAUGUUUGAUGUUCUAACGUUGGCCCGUAAUCCGGGUUGCGGACAGUGUCUGGUGGGUAGUUUGACUGGGGCGGUCUCCUCCUAAAGAGUAACGGAGGAGCACGAAGGUUGGCUAAUCCUGGUCGGACAUCAGGAGGUUAGUGCAAUGGCAUAAGCCAGCUUGACUGCGAGCGUGACGGCGCGAGCAGGUGCGAAAGCAGGUCAUAGUGAUCCGGUGGUUCUGAAUGGAAGGGCCAUCGCUCAACGGAUAAAAGGUACUCCGGGGAUAACAGGCUGAUACCGCCCAAGAGUUCAUAUCGACGGCGGUGUUUGGCACCUCGAUGUCGGCUCAUCACAUCCUGGGGCUGAAGUAGGUCCCAAGGGUAUGGCUGUUCGCCAUUUAAAGUGGUACGCGAGCUGGGUUUAGAACGUCGUGAGACAGUUCGGUCCCUAUCUGCCGUGGGCGCUGGAGAACUGAGGGGGGCUGCUCCUAGUACGAGAGGACCGGAGUGGACGCAUCACUGGUGUUCGGGUUGUCAUGCCAAUGGCACUGCCCGGUAGCUAAAUGCGGAAGAGAUAAGUGCUGAAAGCAUCUAAGCACGAAACUUGCCCCGAGAUGAGUUCUCCCUGACUCCUUGAGGGUCCUGAAGGAACGUUGAAGACGACGACGU